RNAcentral lists this transfer RNA (74 nucleotides) under Saprospiraceae bacterium. RNAcentral's name for it is "tRNA-Pro". It matches the Rfam family "tRNA". Rfam says of the family: Transfer RNA (tRNA) molecules are approximately 80 nucleotides in length. Lineage: Bacteria; Pseudomonadati; Bacteroidota; Saprospiria; Saprospirales; Saprospiraceae. The record is from RNAcentral.
CGGGGCGUAGCGCAGUCCGGUUAGCGUACUGGUUUGGGACCAGGGGGUCGCAGGUUCGAAUCCUGCCGCCCCGA